GAGUUUGAUCCUGGCUCAGGACGAACGCUGGCGGCGCGCCUAACACAUGCAAGUCGAACGAGCGAGAGAGAGCUUGCUUUCUCGAGCGAGUGGCGAACGGGUGAGUAACGCGUGAGGAACCUGCCUCAAAGAGGGGGACAACAGUUGGAAACGACUGCUAAUACCGCAUAAGCCCACGGGUCGGCAUCGACCAGAGGGAAAAGGAGCAAUCCGCUUUGAGAUGGCCUCGCGUCCGAUUAGCUAGUUGGUGAGGUAACGGCCCACCAAGGCGACGAUCGGUAGCCGGACUGAGAGGUUGAACGGCCACAUUGGGACUGAGACACGGCCCAGACUCCUACGGGAGGCAGCAGUGGGGGAUAUUGCACAAUGGGGGAAACCCUGAUGCAGCGACGCCGCGUGGAGGAAGAAGGUUUUCGGAUUGUAAACUCCUGUCGUUAGGGACGAUAAUGACGGUACCUAACAAGAAAGCACCGGCUAACUACGUGCCAGCAGCCGCGGUAAUUC
This 504-nucleotide ribosomal RNA is filed under the name uncultured bacterium. RNAcentral describes it as "bacterial SSU rRNA". It matches the Rfam family "Bacterial small subunit ribosomal RNA", at positions 9 to 526 of the family's 1533-position model. The record is from RNAcentral.